RNAcentral lists this long non-coding RNA (288 nucleotides) under Linum usitatissimum (flax). RNAcentral describes it as "long non-coding RNA (LUSI_LNC002819)". The record is from RNAcentral. Lineage: Eukaryota; Viridiplantae; Streptophyta; Magnoliopsida; Malpighiales; Linaceae.
AAUGUCCUAACAAUUAUAUUUUUUAUCAAAAUGGUCUGAAUUGUAAAUUUAACAAAUCGUCAUUAAUCUUUUCCGUCCAUUUUCAUUCACUCCACCACAUGACUUUGCCACAUACACACCACAUCAUUAUUUAAUCUUAAUCAUUACUCAUCAAUUUAAAAUUUAAAAAAAAGAAGAAAAAGAAACUUAUAAAUCGUCUGCCGCCUCUUCCACAAUUUCCGAUUUACUGAAACAACUAUUCCACCACAUAACUUCCUUCCUUCAUCCAAAAUCCGCCGGCCAGCUCUG